ACGAACGCUGGCGGCAUGCCUAACACAUGCCAGUCGAACGAGACCUUCGGGUCUAGUGGCGCACGGGUGCGUAACGCGUGGGAAUCUGCCCUUCGGUUGGGAAUAACUGAGAGAAAUUUCAGCUAAUACCUUAUAAUGUCUUCGGACCAAAGAUUUAUCGCCGAGGGAUGAGCCCGCGUAGGAUUAGGUAGUUGGUGGGGUAAUGGCCUACCAAGCCGACGAUCCUUAGCUGGUCUGAGAGGAUGAUCAGCCACACUGGGACUGAGACACGGCCCAGACUCCUACGGGAGGCAGCAGUGGGGAAUAUUGGACAAUGGGCGAAAGCCUGAUCCAGCAAUGCCGCGUGAGUGAUGAAGGCCUUAGGGUUGUAAAGCUCUUUUACCCGGGAUGAUAAUGACAGUACCGGGAGAAUAAGCUCCGGCUAACUCCGUG
Molecule: ribosomal RNA, 432 nt
Filed under: uncultured bacterium
Lineage: Bacteria
Description: partial 16S ribosomal RNA
Rfam family: Bacterial small subunit ribosomal RNA
Source: RNAcentral